UGGGGAAUUGUUCGCAAUGGGCGCAAGCCUGACGACGCAACGCCGCGUGGGGGAUGAAGGUCUUCGGAUUGUAAACCCCUGUCGAGCGGGACGAAUAGCCCGCGACCUAAUACGUCGCGGGAAUGACGGUACCGCUCAAGGAAGCCACGGCUAACUCUGUGCCAGCAGCCGCGGUAAUACAGAGGUGGCAAGCGUUGUUCGGAAUUACUGGGCGUAAAGGGCGCGUAGGCGGCCCGCUAAGUCGAACGUGAAAUCCCCAGGCUCAACCUGGGAACUGCGUCCGAUACUGGCAGGCUUGAAUCCGGGAGAGGGAUGUGGAAUUCCAGGUGUAGCGGUGAAAUGCGUAGAUAUCUGGAGGAACACCGGUGGCGAAGGCGGCAUCCUGGACCGGUAUUGACGCUGAGGCGCGAAAGCUAGGGGAGCAAA
Molecule: ribosomal RNA, 426 nt
Filed under: uncultured bacterium
Lineage: Bacteria
Description: bacterial SSU rRNA
Rfam family: Bacterial small subunit ribosomal RNA
Source: RNAcentral